This 97-nucleotide non-coding RNA is filed under the name Tiarina fusus. The record is from RNAcentral. Lineage: Eukaryota; Ciliophora; Prostomatea; Prorodontida; Colepidae.
UUAAUACCAAAGAACAGAAAAGUAGUGGCACAUUAUGCCACACAUUUGAAAUUGCAAGUUUUUUUUCUGGUUUCUCUACAUUUAGCCUUGAUUUGUG